UCCGAGUUGACCCCGGCAGUCUCCUAUGAGUCCCCGGCCGAACCGCUGGCAACAUAGAACGAGGGUUGCGCUCGUUGCGGGACUUAACCCAACACCUCACGGCACGAGCUGACGACAGCCGUGCAGCACCUGUGCACGCUCCCUCGCGGGUCGGUCCCGUUUCCGGUUCCUACCACGUGCAUGUCAAGCCCGGGUAAGGUUCUUCGCGUUGCAUCGAAUUAAACCACACGCUCCGCUGCUUGUGCGGGCCCCCGUCAAUUCCUUUGAGUUUUAGCCUUGCGGCCGUACUCCCCAGGCGGGGUGCUUAAUGCGUUAGCUUCGGCACGGACGGGGUUGAUAUCCGCCCACACCUAGCACCCAACGUUUACGGCUAGGACUAC
This 380-nucleotide unclassified non-coding RNA is filed under the name uncultured bacterium. Its description in RNAcentral is "contains 16S-23S intergenic spacer region". The record is from RNAcentral.